UUCAUUUGACCGCCGUUUGACGUCUUUCGCCAAUCAAAUCAAGACAGGAAAUCACGUGACCACAGUCAGUCACCACACGACGUCUAAUUGCGGCCUUGUCAAAAGUUUGAGGAAGCCCGUGUUGACUUUUUAUUUACCAAAAAAAUAAGCUUGUCGUCUGAAAUUUCAGCUAAAGCUCGACGCGUAACUUGAGAAGACACGUUACGGUGCCAAGGAGCCGGCCGAGGCCUCGCUGCCACGCUGGAUAAAGAGCAGAUGGCGACCCGGACCGGGCAGCCAAGCCAUUCACUUUCCUCGCCGUCUAUUCAGCACGGCGGCGGCGGGACGACAGCUCUGGCAGGUGGCCUCCACGCCCGGUGUAUCCACAGCGGAGUAAACAGCGUGCGUGUGUGUGUGAGUGGGUCUUUUGGGGGCUUGUUGAGUGCGGCUGCAUGUGGGGGAGUCUCGAUUGCGGACAAUGCGGGGAUCCUAAGGCAGCUGCUGCUUCUAUAGAGGGCCAAAGGGCCUUUAAAUCCCAGCCUAUAUCCCACAGCUGCCAUGCUGCCCAAAAGUCUCAAUACAACCCCCCCCCCCGUAAAAAAAAAAAAAAAAACACCCACCCCCACUCUCACAAGGUAUAUCAAGGCUGCACCUGAGCCUUUAGCAAUCCAGAAAAGAAAGAAAAGCAAUACAAAAUUUGACUUUAAAAAAACAUUUUAUUCUCAUCUUUUUUUUUUUUUUUGCUCAUGAGGGAACUUGCAUGGAGAACAAACAUUUUUUUUUAAAUGGCUCAGACAAAGACGACUAGUGUACGCUACAAACUACAUGAUUGCAAAUACACCACCAAUACAAAAAUAAGGAACUAAAAUAAACAUAGGCCAUAUGGCUGAAUCAAGAAUUCACUUAACACGUA
Molecule: long non-coding RNA, 892 nt
Organism: Syngnathus acus (greater pipefish)
Lineage: Eukaryota; Metazoa; Chordata; Actinopteri; Syngnathiformes; Syngnathidae
Exons: 3
Source: RefSeq, a predicted model, not a curated record